RNAcentral lists this unclassified non-coding RNA (3884 nucleotides) under Leishmania donovani. RNAcentral describes it as "gene:LdHU3.02.0310(CDS-product:Glycosyltransferas e_(GlcNAc)_putative)". The record is from RNAcentral. Lineage: Eukaryota; Euglenozoa; Kinetoplastea; Trypanosomatida; Trypanosomatidae.
CACUGCUAGAACAACAACGGCGAAGGCACAUACACACACACAUACACACGUCUGCCCUUCCCUCUUUCUCUCUCCCCCGCUUUCUGUGACGCUAUUUCACAGAGGCGCUCGUGCCGCCGCAGUUGAGAGCGCUCGUUGCGCGCGCGCGAAGCUCUCAUGGACAAUCACGUGACUGCGCGCGUAAAGCGGAUGCCUUCGCCGUCGCCGUUCGGUGACGGCCUCGACGCCGUCGCGACAGCCGGCACUGCAGUCGUCGGUGGCCCAGCACUGUGCACGGCAGCCGGCACAGAGUGUGGCCGGAACGAGCGUGGGCGUGGUCCCGCUGGUUUUGCGUCGGCGUCGAUGGUUUUCAGCAACGAAGGUGAUGGCGGACUUUCUGGUGCCACUCAAACCUUGCACAGCAGCAGCCACCGAGCCCCGGCCAACGUGGAACUGAGGGCGGUCGCGGAGGGCCGUGGCUAUGCGCCGAUGCACUUGAUGCCUAAGGCGUCCGCAUCAUCAGCAGCAGCCGCAGCCGCAGUGCAUGGCCGCGGCCAUCUACGGCCGCUGAGGCGCCUGUUGUGCUGUGCCAGCCGCGUCCAUCGCACGCUGCGCGCGCUCGGCUUUGCAAGCGAUGACGACGACCCCGCGAACAUGUCGCAGAUGCUCGCGUGCUCGUGCGCCGCGGUUGGCGUGUUGCUGGUGCUUCUCUUGAUCAACUUCGCCGCACUGGUGGCGGUGCUGGUUAUUGUAGUGCCUGAUGCGCGGCAGCAUCUUUCUCACACGAUCGGCCCGCUCCUGGACUCCAACACCAGACGAGACGGCAACACAGCCGGUGGCGGCGGCGGUGAUGCCGCGUCUCGCGUCUCUGCGCUGGAUCUCAAGAUUCGUCGUUUACUAGCCAGUGAGGGCCUCGAAGCGUUCUUGCGCGAGACGCGCCGCGCGGCGGAACUACGUCGGCGUGUCCGGCGCAACGCGACGCUCUUGGCAGCACUGCGCAAGGCGAGCGCGGCCCGCGGCAAGGACGGGGGGCACGGUGUGGACCUUGUAAGUCUUGCUCAGACUCUCCCGGAGCUGGAGCAUCUAUCUUUCCUGCUAGCUCAAGUGAGCGUUCAUGUUCGGGCGGUGCAGGAGCACGACCCGGUGAUGGGGCUUAUGGAGCUGAGCGAUUUCUUGCUCAACGCCAAGGGCCGAAAGGAGGCGCUGGAGAAGGCUGCAGAGCGAGCGCGCGCCGAGGGGGCUGAUGCGACGACGGCUGCGCGUGGCGCAUCCACCAUCGGGGAUGCUGCGGCGGAGUGGAACGCGGCGCUGAAGGAGUCGUUUGCGGGGCGCUCAGAGGCAGCUCGCCUGCGUGCGCAGCUACGCGGCUUCGUCGGCGUCUCUUCCUUUGAGACGGAGCGACUGACCGAGCAGCCCUUCGACGACCUCGCGCUGCUACAGUACCGACACGCGUGGACGAAGUCGGAGGUGCUGCCGAUCAUGCGUGCCCGCUUCCGUCGCGCUGGUGCGCGAGCCGACGAGGAGGGCCCAAACGCGGCGGUGCCUCGCAAGAAUGCCGCCAGCCAUACACCACAGAAUAGGCCUGGACAUGAAAGCUCAGCGCCGCUAAGGCCGCAGGACGUCGCAAACCGCGUGGCGAUGAAGGCGGACUUGUAUGAGGUUGCCUCGAUCUUCAACCACAUCCACUACUACCCGCUGCGACGCUACAGCGCUCUCCGCCCCUACGGCGGCGACUCGGUUGCCGACACAGACGCGUGGUAUUCAGCCAUCGCCGCGGUCGUGCAGACUCGCUUCGGCGUCCCGAUCACCUCCAACACGGCGCAGACCGCCGAGGCUGCAGCGCUGCCGCUCAUACAGCGCGACUCUCCCCUCUCCGUUCUUGCACUGCCGCGGCUGGGGCUGGAGCGAGCGAAGGAGGUGGCGCACCUGUACACUCGAGAAGAUCGCCAGCUAAUACCGCACGCGCUGAAUCCCAAAGCCGCAGAAAACACGCACACCGUCUUUGUGAGCGUUGCGAGCUACCGUGACAUGGAGUGUGCGCCGACGCUGCUGAACUUGUUCCGCACAGCGCGCAACCCGCACCGCUUGUACGUCGGGGUCGCUCAGCAGAACCGUGCCGGCGACUCGCCGUGCCUCGUGCCAGAGCUGUACACCCCUUACCUGUGCCCGUCCAACGGCGUGCAGGGCGCUGCGGGCGAUGGCGGCGUCGGCGCCGCGCGUGAGCUGCGGGCGCGUGCGCGCACGUUGUACGGCAAGGGCGUGGACUUGACGACGAGCACCACAGGCCCCGAGGCCCAUUACUUUGAUGCGCGCGUCUGCCUCGUGGCGGAGCAGGUGCGCUUACGUGAGAUCGACUCCAGUCAGGCGAAGGGGCCGGCGUAUGGCCGCUACAUGGCGAUGCUGCUGUACCGUGGCGAGGACGUGACGCUGGUGCUGGACUCACAUAACCGGUUUCGCCCCAUGUGGGACGUCCUCGGCACAACGAUGCUGAGGCGCUUGGAGGACCCGAAAGCGGUGCUGUCGCACUACCCGGAAGGCUACCAGGGCGAGGGGGUUGACUUCCAGCCGUACCGCACGACAACGGCAUACCUCUGCAGGGCGCAUUUUAUGAAUAGCUUCGGCUACCUUCGGCUCAACGGCAUAGUGAUCGGGUCCACGUCGGAGUUCGCAAAGAACAACGUCUACAACGACCCGUACGUGCGUGUUCAGUCGUCGGAAAUCGACCCGGCCACGAACCACCGCCUGCCGCAGCCUUGGGUGGCGGGUGGCUUCUUGAUGUCGUUCGGCACCAUCUUUCGCGACGUCCCCUUCGAUCCGCACCUUCCCUACAUCUUCGACGGAGAGGAGGUGCUGUACUCGACGCGGCUGUGGACGCACGGCUACAACAUCUACUCCCCAGCGCGCGGGCUAUGCUUCCAUAUCUACACCCGCUCCUCAGCGCCGAAGGUGUGGUCGGAGUCGUCUCAGUGGUACACUAUGCAGACACGCGUGCGCCAACGAAUUCAGUUCUUUCUCCAGACUCACCCCUUCAGCAAGGAGGACGUGCUCGUGCCGGCGAACACCACCAACCCGUACGUCAUCAUCGACUCGAGCCGCUACGGGAUGGGCAAGCAGCGGACUGUCGCGCAGUGGUACGAGUACGCCGGUGUAGACCCCAUCAAAUACAAGCUGGAUGGGCGCUGGUGCGGCGUGGACAAGCCCGAUUAGAGGGAUGACGAUGAGGAGGGGGAGUGGUGCGCUCGCACGUGCCCAUCGCCCCCACCCCCCUCAUCUCCGCCCUUUACGGUGGUGCUCUCGCGCCUUUUCGUGUUCUUGUGCGUGUCGCCCUGGAGCUCCCGUCAUGACGCGGGCCACCGGGCCGUGCGUGUGUGGUGGCAGGCUCUCGGGGUGGUGGUGGCGGACUCUUGGUGUGUGUGGGGGGGGGGGCAGGUGUCUGGGGGCCGGCGAGGCUUGCGGCCAUGAUGCCGCUUGCACCGGCUCGCUACGACUCGUGCCGGCAGUCGAAAGAAGGAGCGCACGGAUGCGCCGGCUACUUGUCUGCCUUCGCUGCGUUGCGGUGGCGCGGGGCGCGAUGCGGGGGCGAGCCUGCGCUGUAUGCGGUGACGUGUUGCGGUGGGCUUGGACGGCGCCAGGCGGUGUUGGUGGGGCCCGGUUUCCUGGGCAUGGCCGUCGCGCACCAGAGGUAGGUGCGCUGUGGGCUGUGCAUGCGCCUCUUCAUUGCGCGGCUCGCGUGCGGAGCACGACCACGUUUGUGGGUAUCGAAAGGAACUGUCUGCUGACCACUGUUGCGAUCUUGCCCUCAUCAUCAUCCUGUGCGUACAUCUAAAUAUAUGCCUAUGUGUAUGCAUGUGUAUAUCUGUGUAUAUUGAUGGGUGUGCAUAUUGUUGCUGUUUCGGCCACGUAUU